Molecule: ribosomal RNA, 468 nt
Filed under: uncultured bacterium
Lineage: Bacteria
Description: partial 16S ribosomal RNA
Rfam family: Bacterial small subunit ribosomal RNA
Source: RNAcentral
GACGAACGCUGGCGGCGUGCUUAACACAUGCAAGUCGAACGGAAAGGCCCGGCUUUUGUGGCGUGCUCGAGUGCCGAACGGGUGAGUAACACGCGAGUAACCUGCCCUUGUCUUUGGGAUAACUUCACGAAACUGGGGCUCAUACCGCAUAGGAGCUCCUGCUGCGUGUGGGGCAUUGGUAAGUUUCGGCGGUGCGGGAUCGACUAGCGGCUUAUCAGCUUGAUGGGGUGGUAGUGGCUUACCAAGGCUUUGACGGCUAGCCGGCCUGAGAGGGUGGCCGGCCACAUUGGGACUGAGAGACGGACCAGACUCGUACGUGAGGCAGCAGUGGGGAGUAUGGCACAAUGGGCGGAAGCCAGAUGUAGCAACGCCGCGUGCGGGAUGACGGCCUUCGAGUUAUAAACCGCUUUGGACUGUGACGAGGCGUGAGUGACGGUAAUGGGUAAGGAAGCCCCGGCUAACUACGUG